RNAcentral lists this ribosomal RNA (506 nucleotides) under uncultured bacterium. RNAcentral's name for it is "bacterial SSU rRNA". It matches the Rfam family "Bacterial small subunit ribosomal RNA", at positions 32 to 513 of the family's 1533-position model. The record is from RNAcentral.
AAUCAACGCUGGCGGCGUGCCUCAGACAUGCAAGUCGAACGCGAAAGUCCCCUUCGGGGGACAAGUAGAGUGGCGCGCGGGUGAGUAACACGUAGGUAAUCUACCUUCGGGUGGGGAAUAACGCAGGGAAACUUGCGCUAAUACCGCAUAAUGCAGCGGCACCACAUGGUGACAGUUGUUAAAGCGGGGGAUUUUCGGACCUCGCGCCUGAAGAGGAGCCUGCGGCAGAUUAGCUAGUUGGUAAGGUAACGGCUUACCAAGGCGACGAUCUGUAGCCGGCCUGAGAGGGCGGUCGGCCACACUGACACUGACAUACGGGUCAGACUCCUACGGGAGGCAGCAGUCGGGAAUUUUGGGCAAUGGGCGAAAGCCUGACCCAGCAACGCCGCGUGAAGGAUGAAAUCCCUCGGGAUGUAAACUUCGCAAGAAUAGGAAGAAUGAACGAGCGCUAACACCGUUCGUGAUGACGGUACUAUUUGUAAGCUCCGGCUAACUCCGUGCCAGCA